Long non-coding RNA from Dermacentor silvarum, 366 nucleotides. RefSeq lists it as uncharacterized. The transcript has 3 exons. The record is from RefSeq and is a predicted model, not a curated record. NCBI's taxonomy places the organism in Eukaryota, Metazoa, Arthropoda, Arachnida, Ixodida, Ixodidae.
CUCGCGCAGCUUCCCUACAGAUUGCGUAAACUUUUGAACCCGCAGUUACAUUCACCGUUAUUUUUGUCAGGACCAGCCGAUAAGUUCCUGACGCGUGUUCGUUCAUGAACUGCGGAGCGCCAGACUGCCUUCCACAUCGUCUUUGCUCACGUGCCGAAAGGGGCAGAGGAAAACGCAGCCGCCCAAAAGGCCACCACGAAACUCCUGAACUCCAAGAACCCAGUAAGAAGACCUGCUGAAGUAAGGAGCUACAGCCCAGCAGCCUGUUCGAAACCAGGUUUAUGAAGCUCGAUACCUGUAAUGGACGUUACUCGGCGGCACUCACAUUUAAUGUUGAUCGCUAGCUUGUCUAGUCGUCGUGUUUAC